This 220-nucleotide unclassified non-coding RNA is filed under the name Glomeromycetes sp. RNAcentral describes it as "partial contains 5.8S ribosomal RNA and internal transcribed spacer 2". The stretch from base 1 to 71 matches the Rfam family "5.8S ribosomal RNA", at positions 84 to 154 of the family's 154-position model. Lineage: Eukaryota; Fungi; Glomeromycota; Glomeromycetes. The record is from RNAcentral.
GUGAAUCAUCGAAUUUUUGAACGCAAAUUGCACUUCCUAGCAUCCCGGGGAGUAUGCCUAUUUGAGGGUCAGUAUUAACAAUAAAAUCGGUUUGGUUGCAAGUUGUUUAGAUUCCGGUGUUUGGUCUAUCUUAACUUUUUUAGUUAAGGGGCUUAAAAUUUACCUUUUUUGCGCGUUUUUUUCCGUAAAUAAAUUUUUUUUUUUUAUUCGUCUGUUCGUA